GAUUGGGGCCCCACUGUGCUAGUUUUUGUACUGGCUUAUGGUAAAACAGAGCCCUGCCCUGAAGAGUUUACAGUCAAGGCAGACAAUGGAUGGGAGGGGAAACCAAUGCAUGGAGAGGAAAAGUGACUCGCCCAAGCAACUGUUGGGUCUACCACAUCCUCUGCUGCUCUCUCUGCCUUGGAAUCCUGGGAAGCUCCAGGAAAAGUGCAGCGGUUACUGAACCUCAAGAGGAGGAAACUACAUAGAAACAGAAAAUUGGUUGCUAAUUUUGGAAGAAAAGUUGAAAAAAACCUAAGCAGAUUCUUUACAUAUUUACUCUGCAUCAAAUUCUGAAUCAUAGAAAUGUGUAAGUAUAUUGAUGUAUGUUAUCUAACCUCAAUUCAAAUACAUUAAUGGAGCAUUUUAUGUUGGGUUUGGCAUUUAUAAACAUAGUACCUAUAAUUUCCAUAACUGUUGUAAAAUAAAAUUUGUAUAAAUUCCAAGCAAUAUAUAAAAUAUAGGCAGAAUUUAUUUCUAAAAAUAUCUGUCACUUUGUGUACCCUGCAUACAAUUUACCUCUUGUACGUGUUCUUUUAAACCUGUUCAUGGGGAGUAUUACACUACCUCUGAGUAACUAGGAACUUGUACAAAGAUGCAAAAAGUCUUGGACCAAGUUUCCAAACCCUGCUGACCUAUUCAGCAAAAAGUCUGCCAAUGCAUGGAACUCUUUUAGUUCUUGUAAGCAAGCUCUCUCAUCAACAUGCUUCUUUCCAACUUGUGUUGGCCUUUCCAGUAUGGUCCGUUCCAAAGGAAGAGGGGCUUGAGCACAUUAUAUGAUUCACUAUAAUGUAUAUGAUAUAUUUUUCAAAGUUACUUAACAAAAGGUUGGACACCUGGUGACGUAGUUCUCCUUAAGCAUGUACACGCACUACAGACAGCAGUUUAGACAUGCUGGACUGGGAUUCCAGCUCUAGCCAAGCAGACAUGAUGUUCUCAAAUGCUGUGAUGAUCUGUUAGCUACGUAACCUUUUGACCUCGUGUUGAAUCGCAUGGUUUCUGAUCUCACUGGGCCAAUUUCACCCCUGGUGUAAGUCCAAUAGUUUCAGUAGAGUAACACUAUGGAGGAAUGUUGACCAAUGUGUUUCAGGGUUGGAGCGCCCAUGGGAAAAAAAUUGGUGAGUAUUGAGCCCCACCAGCCAGCCUCCCUAUCAGCGCCUCCCCCACCCCCCAGUGCCUCCCGCCCACUGUGGCUCUGUUGUUCUGUGGCAUGCAGGAAGCGCUGGGUGGGAAGGGGAAGAGCAAA
Long non-coding RNA from Dermochelys coriacea (leatherback sea turtle), 1282 nucleotides. RefSeq lists it as uncharacterized. The record is from RefSeq and is a predicted model, not a curated record. Lineage: Eukaryota; Metazoa; Chordata; Testudines; Dermochelyidae. The transcript is spliced from 3 exons.